AACGAACGCUGGCGGCAUGCCUAAUACAUGCAAGUCUAACGAGAAAGCCUUCGGGUGAGUAAAGUGGCGCACGGGUGAGGAACACGUAGGUGACCUACCCUUAGUUUGGGACAACCCGGGGAAACUCGGGCUAAUACCGGAUGUGUAAUCAGAAUUUGGAAGUAUGAUUAGAAAGAUGGCUUCGGCUAUCGCUAGGGGAAGGGCCUGCGGGCCAUUAGCUUGAUGGUGGGGUAACGGCCUACCAUGGCGACGAUGGAUAACUGGUCUGAGAGGAUGAUCAGUCACACUGGAACUGAGACACGGUCCAG
RNAcentral lists this ribosomal RNA (308 nucleotides) under uncultured bacterium. Its description in RNAcentral is "bacterial SSU rRNA". It matches the Rfam family "Bacterial small subunit ribosomal RNA", at positions 29 to 334 of the family's 1533-position model. The record is from RNAcentral.